RNAcentral lists this non-coding RNA (88 nucleotides) under unclassified sequences. The record is from RNAcentral.
ACUUCUUUGCCGCCGGGUAAAGGAGUUUUGGCGCCAGACUUUCUAUCGUUAGGCCAUUGAAGAUAGAAAGCGCUGGCGCUUUUUAUGU